This is a non-coding RNA of Avibacterium paragallinarum JF4211, 2252 nucleotides long. Lineage: Bacteria; Pseudomonadati; Pseudomonadota; Gammaproteobacteria; Pasteurellales; Pasteurellaceae. The record is from Rfam.
AGUUAAGUGAGAAAGCGUACAGGGCGGAUGCCUUGGCAAUCAGAGGCGAAGAAGGACGUGCUAAUCUGCGAAAAGCGUGGGUGAGUUGAUAAGAAGCGUUUAACCCACGAUGUCCGAAUGGGGAAACCCGAUAGGCGAAGAGCCUAUCAUUGCGAGGUGAAUAAAAUAGCCUCGUAAGGCGAACCGGGAGAACUGAAACAUCUAAGUACCCCGAGGAAAAGAAAUCAACCGAGAUUCUGUGAGUAGCGGCGAGCGAAAGCGGAGGAGCCAGUAAGUAAUAGCAGCAGAGAUAGAGGAAUUGUCUGGGAAGGCAAGCGACACAGGGUGAUAGCCCCGUACUUAAAAUCCAGGCUGUGGUACUAAGCUUACGAGAAGUAGGGCGGGACACGAGGAAUCCUGUCUGAAGAUGGGGGGACCAUCCUCCAAGGCUAAAUACUCCUGAUUGACCGAUAGUGAACCAGUACUGUGAAGGAAAGGCGAAAAGAACCCCGGUGAGGGGAGUGAAAUAGAACCUGAAACCCUGUACGUACAAGCAGUGGGAGCCCGCAAGGGUGACUGCGUACCUUUUGUAUAAUGGGUCAGCGACUUAUAUUUUGUAGCGAGGUUAACUGAAUAAGGGAGCCGAAGGGAAACCGAGUCUUAACUGGGCGUUGAGUUGCAAGGUAUAGACCCGAAACCCGGUGAUCUAGCCAUGGGCAGGUUGAAGGUUGGGUAACACUAACUGGAGGACCGAACCGACUAAUGUUGAAAAAUUAGCGGAUGACUUGUGGCUGGGGGUGAAAGGCCAAUCAAACCGGGAGAUAGCUGGUUCUCCCCGAAAUCUAUUUAGGUAGAGCCUUGUGUGAAUACCUUUGGGGGUAGAGCACUGUUUCGGCUAGGGGCCCAUCCUGGGUUACCAAACCGAUGCAAACUCCGAAUACCAAAGAGUAAUGCACAGGAGACACACGGCGGGUGCUAACGUCCGUCGUGGAGAGGGAAACAACCCAGACCGCCAGCUAAGGUCCCAAAAUCUAUAUUAAGUGGGAAACGAAGUGGGAAGGCUUAGACAGCUAGGAUGUUGGCUUAGAAGCAGCCACCAUUUAAAGAAAGCGUAAUAGCUCACUAGUCGAGUCGGCCUGCACGGAAGAUGUAACGGGGCUAAAAUAUAGUACCGAAGCUGCGGCAUCAGGCGUAUCACUAAUACGCCUUAACGAUUAACCACUUGCGAAGCAAGUGGGUAAAGCGAAAAACACGUUGAGUGUAAUGGCAAAGAAUCGAAGAGGGAUAUUAGUGAUACGUCUGUUGGGUAGGGGAGCGUUGUGUAAGCGGAAGAAGGUGGUUCGAGAGGAUUGCUGGACGUAUCACAAGUGCGAAUGCUGACAUAAGUAACGAUAAAACGGGUGAAAAACCCGUUCGCCGGAAGACCAAGGGUUCCUGUCCAACGUUAAUCGGGGCAGGGUGAGUCGGCCCUAAGGCGAGGCUGAAAAGCGUAGUCGAUGGGAAACGGGUUAAUAUUCCCGUACUUGGUAAAGUUGCGAUGUGGGGACGGAGAAGGUUAGGUUAUCGACCUGUUGGAAAUGGUCGUUUAAGUUGGUAGGUGGGUGAGUUAGGCAAAUCCGGCUCACCGUUAACACUGAGAGAUGAUGACGAGGCACUAAGGUGCUGAAGUAACUGAUACCACACUUCCAGGAAAAGCCACUAAGCUUCAGGCUUUACUAAACCGUACUGAAAACCGACACAGGUGGUCAGGUAGAGAAUACUCAGGUGCUUGAGAGAACUCGGGUGAAGGAACUAGGCAAAAUAGCACCGUAACUUCGGGAGAAGGUGCGCCGGCGUAGAUUGUAGUGACUUGCUCACGAAGGUUGAACCGGUCGAAGAUACCAGCUGGCUGCAACUGUUUAUUAAAAACACAGCACUCUGCAAACACGAAAGUGGACGUAUAGGGUGUGAUGCCUGCCCGGUGCUGGAAGGUUAAUUGAUGGUGUAAUCGAAAGAGAAGCUCCAGAUCGAAGCCCCAGUAAACGGCGGCCGUAACUAUAACGGUCCUAAGGUAGCGAAAUUCCUUGUCGGGUAAGUUCCGACCUGCACGAAUGGCAUAAUGAUGGCCAGGCUGUCUCCACCCGAGACUCAGUGAAAUUGAAAUCGCCGUGAAGAUGCGGUGUACCCGCGGCUAGACGGAAAGACCCCGUGAACCUUUACUAUAGCUUGACACUGAACCUUGAAUUUUGAUGUGUAGGAUAGGUGGGAGACUGUGAAGCGGUAACGCCAGUUGA